Molecule: long non-coding RNA, 627 nt
Filed under: Nicotiana benthamiana
Lineage: Eukaryota; Viridiplantae; Streptophyta; Magnoliopsida; Solanales; Solanaceae
Description: long non-coding RNA (NBEN_LNC039758)
Source: RNAcentral
CCUUUUGUUGCAUCACAUGAAAAUAACAAUAUGAUAGUCAUCAAAAGUUUGUGGGGUUGGAGUUUGAAAGUGUAGUAGGGUUUUGUGUUGGUGUAUGGAAUUGCCACUAUUGUAGUGGAAUCAUUAGUCAUGAUAUUAUCUACUAUGCUUUUUGAGUCAUAUGAAUCGUUUUGUAACUCCUGUUUGACCACCAAUAACUGAUGAUGACUUUGAAAAAAUACCAUAAAGAAACAAAAAACAAUCAAUUUAAAUAACUUGAGAUUGAAUAUGAAGAAUACUGGGGAUAGUUAGUAUUCCUUCAUUUUUAUGUAAUAUUACCAGUAUACCUCUAACGGGCUAUUCGAUGCAAACCCAAAUUAAUCGAACACAAUACUGAACAUCUCGCUAAAGAAAAACAAGUUGGUAUGGCGAAUUACAGUAAAACAACAUGUAUUAAAGGCAGAAGAGGAGCUAUUUUAGAAGGAAUAGAGAGAAGAACAUAGAACUUAUUCCAACCAAAUAGCUCCAGAGUUAUGUAAAUUCUUCAUCCAUAAUGAUAAGAAGAUAGAUCAAAAUAUAAAAGAUUUUUCUUCAAAUCAAGAAUUUUGAAUAGAAAUUAUCAAUAAGAAACUACUGGUCCAUGUAAAA